AGUAACGCGUGAGGAACCUGCCUCAAAGAGGGGGACAACAGUUGGAAACGACUGCUAAUACCGCAUAAGCCCACGGCUCGGCAUCGAGCAGAGGGAAAAAGAGCAAUCCGCUUUGAGAUGGCCUCGCGUCCGAUUAGCUAGUUGGUGAGGUAACGGCCCACCAAGGCGACGAUCGGUAGCCGGACUGAGAGGUUGAACGGCCACAUUGGGACUGAGACACGGCCCAG
RNAcentral lists this ribosomal RNA (227 nucleotides) under uncultured bacterium. Its description in RNAcentral is "partial 16S ribosomal RNA". It matches the Rfam family "Bacterial small subunit ribosomal RNA", at positions 109 to 334 of the family's 1533-position model. The record is from RNAcentral.